This 30-nucleotide non-coding RNA is filed under the name Homo sapiens (human). Lineage: Eukaryota; Metazoa; Chordata; Mammalia; Primates; Hominidae. The record is from RNAcentral.
UGAGGUAGGUGUUCUUCCCUUUUCUGGUGU